This 465-nucleotide ribosomal RNA is filed under the name Vreelandella stevensii. Its description in RNAcentral is "partial 16S ribosomal RNA". It matches the Rfam family "Bacterial small subunit ribosomal RNA", at positions 338 to 795 of the family's 1533-position model. The record is from RNAcentral. Lineage: Bacteria; Pseudomonadati; Pseudomonadota; Gammaproteobacteria; Oceanospirillales; Halomonadaceae.
CCUACGGGAGGCUGCAGUGGGGAAUAUUGGACAAUGGGGGGAACCCUGAUCCAGCCAUGCCGCGUGUGUGAAGAAGGCCCUCGGGUUGUAAAGCACUUUCAGUGAGGAAGAACGCCUGGUGGUUAAUACCCAUCAGGAAAGACAUCACUCACAGAAGAAGCACCGGCUAACUCCGUGCCAGCAGCCGCGGUAAUACGGAGGGUGCGAGCGUUAAUCGGAAUUACUGGGCGUAAAGCGCGCGUAGGUGGCUUGAUAAGCCGGUUGUGAAAGCCCCGGGCUCAACCUGGGAACGGCAUCCGGAACUGUCAAGCUAGAGUGCAGGAGAGGAAGGUAGAAUUCCCGGUGUAGCGGUGAAAUGCGUAGAGAUCGGGAGGAAUACCAGUGGCGAACGCGGCCUUCUGGACUGACACUGACACUGAGGUGCGAAAGCGUGGGUAGCAAACAGGAUUAGAUACCCCAGUAGUC